UGGGGAAUAUUGCACAAUGGGCGGAAGCCUGAUGCAGCGACGCCGCGUGGGGGAUGACGGCCUUCGGGUUGUAAACCUCUUUCGACAGGGACGAAGCCUUUUAGGUGACGGUACCUGUAUAAGAAGCACCGGCUAACUACGUGCCAGCAGCCGCGGUAAUACGUAGGGUGCGAGCGUUGUCCGGAAUUACUGGGCGUAAAGAGCUCGUAGGUGGUUUGUCGCGUCGUCUGUGAAAUUCCGGGGCUUAACCUCGGGCGUGCAGGCGAUACGGGCAAUACUUGAGUGCUGUAGGGGAGACUGGAAUUCCUGGUGUAGCGGUGAAAUGCGCAGAUAUCAGGAGGAACACCGAUGGCGAAGGCAGGUCUCUGGGCAGUAACUGACGCUGAGGAGCGAAAGCAUGGGUAGCGAACAG
Molecule: ribosomal RNA, 412 nt
Filed under: uncultured organism
Description: bacterial SSU rRNA
Rfam family: Bacterial small subunit ribosomal RNA
Source: RNAcentral